Molecule: ribosomal RNA, 857 nt
Filed under: Micrococcaceae bacterium M_Sw_oHS_09/11_5_2(1)
Lineage: Bacteria; Bacillati; Actinomycetota; Actinomycetes; Micrococcales; Micrococcaceae
Description: bacterial SSU rRNA
Rfam family: Bacterial small subunit ribosomal RNA
Source: RNAcentral
UCACUCAGGAUGAAUGCUGGCGGCGUGCUUAACACAUGCAAGUCGAACGAUGAAGCCCAGCUUGCUGGGUGGAUUAGUGGCGAACGGGUGAGUAACACGUGAGUAACCUGCCCUUGACUCUGGGAUAAGCCUGGGAAACUGGGUCUAAUACUGGAUAUGACUUCUCACCGCAUGGUGGGGGGUGGAAAGAUUUAUUGGUCUUGGAUGGACUCGCGGCCUAUCAGCUUGUUGGUGAGGUAAUGGCUCACCAAGGCGACGACGGGUAGCCGGCCUGAGAGGGUGACCGGCCACACUGGGACUGAGACACGGCCCAGACUCCUACGGGAGGCAGCAGUGGGGAAUAUUGCACAAUGGGCGCAAGCCUGAUGCAGCGACGCCGCGUGAGGGAUGACGGCCUUCGGGUUGUAAACCUCUUUCAGUAGGGAAGAAGCGAAAGUGACGGUACCUGCAGAAGAAGCGCCGGCUAACUACGUGCCAGCAGCCGCGGUAAUACGUAGGGCGCGAGCGUUAUCCGGAAUUAUUGGGCGUAAAGAGCUCGUAGGCGGUUUGUCGCGUCUGCCGUGAAAGUCCGGGGCUUAACCCCGGAUCUGCGGUGGGUACGGGCAGACUAGAGUGCAGUAGGGGAGACUGGAAUUCCUGGUGUAGCGGUGAAAUGCGCAGAUAUCAGGAGGAACACCGAUGGCGAAGGCAGGUCUCUGGGCUGUAACUGACGCUGAGGAGCGAAAGCAUGGGGAGCGAACAGGAUUAGAUACCCUGGUAGUCCAUGCCGUAAACGUUGGGCACUAGGUGUGGGGGACAUUCCACGUUUUCCGCGCCGUAGCUAACGCAUUAAGUGCCCCGCCUGAGACGCGACUUGU